Molecule: ribosomal RNA, 468 nt
Filed under: uncultured bacterium
Lineage: Bacteria
Description: partial 16S ribosomal RNA
Rfam family: Bacterial small subunit ribosomal RNA
Source: RNAcentral
GACGAACGCUGGCGGCGUGCUUAACACAUGCAAGUCGAACGGAAAGGCCCUGCUUUUGUGGGGUGCUCGAGUGGCGAACGGGUGAGUAACACGUGAGUAACCUGCCCUUGACUUUGGGAUAAAUUCAGGAAACUGGGGCUAAUACCGGAUAGGAGCUCCUGCUGCAUGGUGGGGGUUGGAAAGAUUCGGCGGUUGGGGAUGGAAUCGCGGCUUAUCAGCUUGUUGGUGGGGUAGGGGCUUACCAAGGCUUUGACGGGUAGCCGGCCUGAGAGCGUGACCGGCCACAUUGGGACUGAGAUACGCCCCAGAAGCCUACGGGCGGCAGCAGUGGGGAAUAUUGCACAAUGGGCGGACGCCUGAUGCAGCAACGCCGCGUGCGGGAUGACGGCCUUCGGGUUGUAAACCGCUUUCGCCUGUGCCGAAGCGUGAGUGACGGUAAUGGGUAAAGAAGCACCGGCUAACUACGUG